Molecule: ribosomal RNA, 676 nt
Filed under: Pseudomonas putida
Lineage: Bacteria; Pseudomonadati; Pseudomonadota; Gammaproteobacteria; Pseudomonadales; Pseudomonadaceae
Description: bacterial SSU rRNA
Rfam family: Bacterial small subunit ribosomal RNA
Source: RNAcentral
UCUACCUUUUGCCAAUUUCAGCGGAUGACGGGAGCUUGCUCCUUGAUUCAGCGGGACGGGUGAGUAAUGCCUAGGAAUCUGCCUGGUAGUGGGGGACAACGUUUCGAAAGAAACGCUAAUACCGCAUACGUCCUACGGGAGAAAGCAGGGGACCUUCGGGCCUUGCGCUAUCAGAUGAGCCUCGGUCGGAUUAGCUAGUUGGUGAGGUAAUGGCUCACCAAGGCGACGAUCCGUAACUGGUCUGAGAGGAUGAUCAGUCACACUGGAACUGAGACACGGUCCAGACUCCUACGGGAGGCAGCAGUGGGGAAUAUUGGACAAUGGGCGAAAGCCUGAUCCAGCCAUGCCGCGUGUGUGAAGAAGGUCUUCGGAUUGUAAAGCACUUUAAGUUGGGAGGAAGGGCAGUAAGUUAAUACCUUGCUGUUUUGACGUUACCGACAGAAUAAGCACCGGCUAACUCUGUGCCAGCAGCCGCGGUAAUACAGAGGGUGCAAGCGUUAAUCGGAAUUACUGGGCGUAAAGCGCGCGUAGGUGGUUUGUUAAGUUGGAUGUGAAAGCCCCGGGCUCAACCUGGGAACUGCAUCCAAAACUGGCAAGCUAGAGUACGGUAGAGGGUGGUGGAAUUUCCUGUGUAGCGGUGAAAUGCUUAGAUAUAGGAAGGAACACCAGUGGCGAA